RNAcentral lists this ribosomal RNA (269 nucleotides) under uncultured archaeon. RNAcentral describes it as "partial 16S ribosomal RNA". It matches the Rfam family "Archaeal small subunit ribosomal RNA", at positions 477 to 746 of the family's 1478-position model. The record is from RNAcentral.
CAGCCCCUCGAGUGGUGGGGAUGAUUAUUUGGCCUAAAGCGUCCGUAGCCGGCCGGGUAAGUUUCCCGUUAAAUCCAGCGUCUCAAGCGUUGGACUGCGGGAAAUACUGCCUGGCUAGAGAGUGGGAGAGGUCAGCGGUAUUCUGGGGGUAGGGGCGAAAUCCUUUGAUCCCCGGAGGACCACCAGUGGCGAAGGCUGCUGACUAGAACACGUCUGACGGUCAGGGACGAAAGCUGGGGUAGCGAACCGGAUUAGAUACCCGAGUAGUC